CAAAUAUACACUGAGGAGUAAAGGCUGGGAUGUGGAGAAGCCUGGCACACCUCCCUUCAGCACAGCUAAAACUGGGGACUACUACAGCCAGGCGUCCAGGGAAAUUCUGGUCAUAGACUGGAGGUUCCGAAUCGCUCACAAAGGGUCAUGCUACAGACCCUUUGGCAGUGAGUGACUUUCCCCACGACCAGAAGUAUUCCGGUUGAGAGAGCCAACAAUUUACUCUGAUGUCUGCUCUGGGUUUGACUCUUCGCCCCUCAACCCAUCCCCAUUCUGCAUUAUCCUGUCCUCAAUUUGAGUCGCCAGAAUUCA
Molecule: long non-coding RNA, 312 nt
Filed under: Mustela putorius furo (domestic ferret)
Lineage: Eukaryota; Metazoa; Chordata; Mammalia; Carnivora; Mustelidae
Description: lncRNA (ENSMPUG00000024316.1)
Source: RNAcentral